AUGGAAACUCCCGACAAUAUCAGCUGGAAAUUACCUAUGGAAGCUGAGUCACCUACCUCGCUCCUGGAGCCCGCUGGCUGUUUCCAAGGCCUUCUUCAUUAUUCAAACCACGACUCCAUCACAGGAAUACCCAAAGCAACAUUUGAUAGUUGUGGAAGAUUUUUACCCUCACAAGUCAUGAAUACUUUCUGUUUAUCGCUUACACUGAGGAUUUAUGACUAUCUAAGUGUUGUAUUUCCGAAGGGAAGCAUCCUAUCCUCAGAUCCAUUCUGCUCACGUCAGAAUACCUUUGAAGACUAGGCACUUAUUAUUUCUACAAUGAAUCUGUUUCCUCCAGACUCCCGGCUGUCACCGUCCUGACCUGCCACCUGUGUCACAUCCCAUCAAGUGCUGUGGAUGAGCCAGGUACCAGUAAACCAGCCCCCGAGGCUGGAGAAAUGUUGGAUGUAGAUGCUCACAGAAUCAUUCAUCAAAUCUUGGAAGCUUCGGAGAGAAGUGCGUAAAAUGAAAAUUUAGUUCCAGAGAAAUAGAGCCUCAAUUUAAUACCAUCUACCAAAGCACUGCCACGUCUGUCAUCUU
RNAcentral lists this long non-coding RNA (579 nucleotides) under Sus scrofa (pig). Its description in RNAcentral is "lncRNA (ENSSSCG00055018589.1)". Lineage: Eukaryota; Metazoa; Chordata; Mammalia; Artiodactyla; Suidae. The record is from RNAcentral.